GCACCUGGGGUCAUGUGCCUACCCGAAGUCCAACUCCGAUUGUGGCUUUGGAUGUACCGAAGCGGGUGAAAGGCCCGUACGGGUAGGUGGUUCAUGAUCCUCAGAUGUGUGUGCUUUCGAGUCGGAUUGCUUGGGAAUGCAGUCCAAAGUGGGUGGUAAACUCCAUCCAAGGCUAAAUACUGGCACGAGUCCGAUAGUAAACAAGUACCGUGAGGGAAAGUUGAAAAGUACUCUGAAGAGAGAGUAAAUAGUACGUGAAGCCGAUUGCAGGGAAGCUGGUGGAGUCAAGCUUCAUGCUGGAAGAUUUGUCGUCGAGAGUUGUUGUGUUGUUGGCACGCGUUGGUCGAUGUGGAAAGAAUUGGGUGGCCUCGGUCGCUUCAAGUCGUUCCGGGUUGUACGAUUGGGCUGGCGCGCGUUGUCUUGCUCACGAUGAUUUAUUCUUCAUGGCAUAGAUCACGGUCGAUGGUGGCAUGCUGUGUGACUGUCUAACUGUGCUCAGGUGGGCGUAAGCUUGCCGGGUGCAGGAUGGGAGGUGUCGCUUGUGCC
Molecule: ribosomal RNA, 546 nt
Filed under: Gussevia undulata
Lineage: Eukaryota; Metazoa; Platyhelminthes; Monogenea; Dactylogyridea; Dactylogyridae
Description: partial large subunit ribosomal RNA
Rfam family: Eukaryotic large subunit ribosomal RNA
Source: RNAcentral